RNAcentral lists this ribosomal RNA (438 nucleotides) under uncultured bacterium. Its description in RNAcentral is "bacterial SSU rRNA". It matches the Rfam family "Bacterial small subunit ribosomal RNA", at positions 340 to 769 of the family's 1533-position model. The record is from RNAcentral.
UACGGAAGGCAGCAGUGGGGAAUAUUGCACAAUGGGCGCAAGCCUGAUGCAGCCAUGCCGCGUGUAUGAAAAAGGCCUUCGGGUUGUAAAGUACUUUCAGUCGUGAGGAAGGUGUUAAGGUUAAUAACCUUAGCAAUUGACGUUAGCGACAGAAGAAGCACCGGCUAACUCCGUGCCAGCAGCCGCGGUAAUACGGAGGGUGCGAGCGUUAAUCGGAAUUACUGGGCGUAAAGGGCACGCAGGCGGUUAAUUAAGUUGGAUGUGAAAUCCCCGGGCUUAACCUGGGAAUGGCAUUCAAGACUGGUUAGCUAGAGUCUUGUAGAGGGGGUUAGAAUUCCAUGUGUAGCGGUGAAAUGCGUAGAGAUGUGGAGGAAUACCGGUGGCGAAGGCGGCCCCUGGGACAAAGGACUGACGCUCAUGUGCGAAAGCGUGGGGAGC